This 253-nucleotide ribosomal RNA is filed under the name uncultured bacterium. RNAcentral's name for it is "partial 16S ribosomal RNA". It matches the Rfam family "Bacterial small subunit ribosomal RNA", at positions 524 to 776 of the family's 1533-position model. The record is from RNAcentral.
UACAGAGGGGGCAAGCGUUGUUCGGAAUUACUGGGCGUAAAGGGCGCGUAGGCGGCCUUCUAAGUCGAACGUGAAAUCCCCGGGCUCAACCCGGGAACUGCGUCCGAGACUGGAAGGCUCGAAUCCGGGAGAGGGAUGUGGAAUUCCAGGUGUAGCGGUGAAAUGCGUAGAUAUCUGGAGGAACAUCGGUGGCGAAGGCGGCAUCCUGGACCGGUAUUGACGCUGAGGCGCGAAAGUUAGGGGAGCAAACGGG